RNAcentral lists this unclassified non-coding RNA (200 nucleotides) under soil metagenome. RNAcentral describes it as "partial contains internal transcribed spacer 2 and large subunit ribosomal RNA". The record is from RNAcentral.
UGCUGCCGAAAGGCGGCUCCCCUUGAAUGUGUCGGUUGGGUUUCCUUAGGCUUUUGCGUCGAAAUGGGGCGUUGUAUCAUCCUCGCUCUCGCUAGACUGCGGCUUAGGUAUUGUUCCCUUCCUAGACUUAGCCUCUGGAGUGGCGGUCAAACAAAUCGAAUUCUGACCUCAAAUCAGGUAGGACUACCCGCUGAACUUAA